Molecule: ribosomal RNA, 423 nt
Filed under: uncultured bacterium
Lineage: Bacteria
Description: bacterial SSU rRNA
Rfam family: Bacterial small subunit ribosomal RNA
Source: RNAcentral
UGAGGAAUAUUGGUCAAUGGGCGCGAGCCUGAACCAGCCAAGUCGCGUGAGGGAAGACUGUGCAAAGCAUUGUAAACCUCUUUUGUCGGGGAACAAAGGCUCCCACGCGUGGGAGUAUGAGUGUACCCGAAGAAAAAGCAUCGGCUAACUCCGUGCCAGCAGCCGCGGUAAUACGGAGGAUGCGAGCGUUAUCCGGAUUUAUUGGGUUUAAAGUGUGCGCAGGCGGACUGUCAAGUCAGCGGUAAAAUGUCGGGGCUCAACCCCGGCCGGCCGUUGAAACUGGCGGUCUCGAGUUGAAGAGAAGUAUGCGGAAUGCGUGGUGUAGCGGUGAAAUGCAUAGAUAUCACGCAGAACUCCGAUUGCGAAGGCAGCAUACCGGCUUCAUACUGACGCUCAGGCACGAAAGCGUGGGGAUCGAACAGG